This 379-nucleotide long non-coding RNA is filed under the name Rattus norvegicus (Norway rat). Its description in RNAcentral is "long non-coding RNA NONRATT032802". Lineage: Eukaryota; Metazoa; Chordata; Mammalia; Rodentia; Muridae. The record is from RNAcentral.
GGGUAACAGGUCACAGGAAAGCAAGUGUUGGUGCCAGGGCCUCCGGUGGAUUCCAGACUGCCUCUUCAGAGACAGGUCAUGGACACGGUGCGUAUUGCGGUCGUCGGAGCUGGCGUGAUAGGGCUGUCUACUGCCGCCUGCGUCUCCCAGCUGGUCCCCCGAUGUUCCGUUACUGUCAUCUCAGACAGGUUCACACCUGACACCACCAGUAAUGUAGCAGCUGGGAUGCUCAUUCCUCCCACGUAUCCAGAUACGCCCGUGCCCACGCUGAAGCGAUGGUUUAGAGAGACCUUCCAGCAUCUUUCUGAAAUCGCCAGGUCUGCAGAGGCUGUGGAUGCCGGCAUUCACCUGGUGUCUGGGUAAGGAGAGGAAUCUGAAG